This is a ribosomal RNA of Protopterus annectens (West African lungfish), 152 nucleotides long. RefSeq annotates it as 5.8S ribosomal RNA. The transcript has a single exon. Lineage: Eukaryota; Metazoa; Chordata; Ceratodontiformes; Protopteridae. The record is from RefSeq and is a predicted model, not a curated record.
AACUCUAAGCGGUGGAUCACUUGGCUCAUGAGUCGAUGAAGAAUGCAGCUAGUUGCGAGAACUAAUGUGAAUGGCAGGAUACAUUGAUCAUUGACACCGAGCGCACUUUGCGGCCCCAGGUUACUCCCGGGGCUACGCCUGUCUGAGGGCCA